CCUACGGGCGUCAGCAGUGAGGAAUAUUGGUCAAUGGGCUUACGCCUGAACCAGCCAAGUCGCGUGAGGGAAGACUGCCCUAUGGGUUGUAAACCUCUUUUGUCAGGGAGCAACGCCGGCUACGUGUAGCCGGACUGAGAGUACCUGAAGAAAAAGCAUCGGCUAACUCCGUGCCAGCAGCCGCGGUAAUACGGAGGAUGCGAGCGUUAUCCGGAUUGAUUGGGUUUAAAGGGUGCGUAGGCGGAAUGCCAAGUCAGCGGUAAAAUCGCGGGGCUCAACCUCGCUCCGCCGUUGAAACUGGCGUUCUUGAGUGGGCGAGAAGUAUGCGGAAUGCGUGGUGUAGCGGUGAAAUGCAUAGAUAUCACGCAGAACUCCGAUUGCGAAGGCAGCAUACCGGCGCCCAACUGACGCUGAAGCACGAAAGCGUGGGUAUCGAACAGGAUUAGAUACCCUUGUAGUC
This 460-nucleotide ribosomal RNA is filed under the name uncultured bacterium. Its description in RNAcentral is "partial 16S ribosomal RNA". It matches the Rfam family "Bacterial small subunit ribosomal RNA", at positions 338 to 795 of the family's 1533-position model. The record is from RNAcentral.